RNAcentral lists this ribosomal RNA (129 nucleotides) under Necator americanus (New World hookworm). Its description in RNAcentral is "partial 28S ribosomal RNA". It matches the Rfam family "Eukaryotic large subunit ribosomal RNA", at positions 1 to 126 of the family's 3401-position model. Lineage: Eukaryota; Metazoa; Nematoda; Chromadorea; Rhabditida; Ancylostomatidae. The record is from RNAcentral.
UGCAACCUGAGCUCAGGCGUGAUUACCCGCUGAACUUAAGCAUAUCAUUUAGCGGAGGAAAAGAAACUAACAAGGAUUCCCUUAGUAACGGCGAGUGAACGGGGAGGAGCCCAGCGCUGAAUCUCUCGG